This 250-nucleotide ribosomal RNA is filed under the name uncultured bacterium. Its description in RNAcentral is "partial 16S ribosomal RNA". It matches the Rfam family "Bacterial small subunit ribosomal RNA", at positions 57 to 305 of the family's 1533-position model. The record is from RNAcentral.
GCAAGUCGAGCGGAAACGAUCCUAGCUUGCUAGGAGGCGUCGAGCGGCGGACGGGUGAGUAACGCGUAGGAAUCUACCUGAUUGUGGGGGAUAGCCCAGAGAAAUUUGGAUUAAUACCGCAUACGCCCUACGGGGGAAAGGAGGGGAUCUUCGGACCUUUCGCUGUCAGAUGAGCCUGCGUGAGAUUAGCUUGUUGGUGGGGUAAAGGCUCACCAAGGCGACGAUCUCUAGCUGGUCUGAGAGGAUGAUC